Molecule: long non-coding RNA, 1923 nt
Filed under: Sorghum bicolor (sorghum)
Lineage: Eukaryota; Viridiplantae; Streptophyta; Magnoliopsida; Poales; Poaceae
Description: long non-coding RNA (SBIC_LNC017823)
Source: RNAcentral
AGGGCAAAUCCAAGGUUCAAAAAUCAGGGUUUUCCCCCCCUAAUCUUUCGGAAAUCUUUCCUCCUAGGGUUUUAGCAACCAACACAAGCAUCCAAACACAAUAUAAACACACUUUAGUUCCCUAAGCACAUUCAACCAAAUUAAACUUGUUUUAAGUUAAUGCAUCAGGGUGUGCUUAACAAAUAUGCUGUGCAAUGCCGAUGAUGUCAUGCUUCAAAUUUUUAGUAACCGUAACAUCGGGGAUGUUACAAUUAUCGACCGUCAACAGUUCCUCCAAGUUUAGCUUUUGCCAGUCCCUUGGCAAACCACGCCUAAGCAGUAUAUGUAUUUGGAUCAAAUGUUGCUACAAUGUUUUCAUUCUUUCCAAGUACACAUGCUCCCAAACAAAGAUUCUCCUCCGGAUUAGUUAAUACUUGCUCUAAUCUUCAAACUUACCCGUUUUAUCUUUAACCAUGGGGCUUUAUAGCUUUUGCAUGAGUCUUGAGUAAUCUGAAGAUAGAACAAUCAGGUAAAACACUGUCUCAAAUUCUUUGCAGAACCAUUAUUCUAGAGUUUUUAGAAUAAAACUCAGAGCUUAAUUGUAUGACACCCUCAAAUCUCUCCAUAUAUGUGGUAUUUAUGGCUCUCUCUUGAGGAAUUAAUGAUGUUAUACCUCCUAUAGCUAAAGAUAUAUAUAUAUAUAUAUAUGGUAGAGCUCAUAGGAGUGCUAAUAACAAGGGAAAGCAUGCUUGCAAUGCAUGUAUUUUAAAGUCAACUUAUGGAUCCACAGAGAAUCGAGGCAUACAAUCAAACCAAGGUGUGCAUGUGUAUGGAAUAUGAUGAAUAGGUUAAUUUGUGGUUAAUUUAUAUUUCUUGGGAAAUAACUCUCUAUUGGAACUUUUGAGGAAAGACAUGUGCUAUCUCUUUUUUUUCUUUUUUUUAAACAGGGAGGCGGGCAUCUAGUACUCAUUGUUUUAAUUAUUGGGACACUUGUCCAUCUUUUACUCCCUUUUAUUCUUUUAUAUUUUUGCAUAGCCACAUGUAUCCUUUAAAUACAAUAAAUGAUUAGAUAGUUAAUAACAAGAACUUAGAAUAUUAAAGACAAGAUUAUCCUACACGGUGAUUGUUGGUGUGUUACUACAGUGUAGGAGAAAAACAUGAUUGAUGAACAUGGAAUGGAAAUGAUUCCAAUUACUCCUAAUUUGGAAAUAAUGCAUAUAUGAACUGGAGUGUGUACGUGAUCUUUAUUUUAAAAGCAAGACAAGACUCUUAUAAGGUAUACUACAGAGGUUGACUGAACUCAACGCAAAGCAAGUAGCAUAAAUGUGCGAAAGUUUUCCUCACUCUAAAUGGAUAUUAUAUAUGGCUUUGGUAGGAAUUCAUGCUUUGUCAUACAAGAGCUCAUCAUGAAGGAUUUUGGGUUUUCAAAAUAAAUCUCUAGAACUUAGUAAUGCUAGGAAUAAGAUAAAUAGCAGCUCAGAUUUUCAAUGACGAUAUCAACCAACUACCUAGACUUAGCUCAACUUAUGUGUCCACAAAUUACAGGUUCAAAGUAAAUCUUCAAAUUAAAACAGUAAUGUCUAAAACUCGAGAAAAUCUAAUGUUGGAAUCUAGGUACUUGUAAAGAAUAGAGCAACUAUUCAUUAUUUCCAAGACAAAAUUUUAAUGUUCAUCAAAUUUUAUUUAGCUCUAGUUUAGACUGACUCUAAAAAUCUUCUAACACUUAACUGAUUAUAAACUCACAAAAAGACUCUAUGACUUGUGGACCUUCAUGUGCCCACAUAUUUUCUGUAUUUUUAUAACUAUGUAGACUCUAUAAUCGCUUAGGUAUAAUUUCCUGAUAACUAGGGGAUGCUCAUCCCCCAAGCUGGAUGUUUGCAAUACUUGAUGUUCAUGUCCUUUAGAGCGAGCUAGCCAGUAGCGAACCCGCUGGGUGCCACUAAU